Molecule: ribosomal RNA, 254 nt
Filed under: uncultured bacterium
Lineage: Bacteria
Description: partial 16S ribosomal RNA
Rfam family: Bacterial small subunit ribosomal RNA
Source: RNAcentral
UACGGGGGGAGCAAGCGUUGUUCGGAUUUACUGGGCGUAAAGGGCGCGUAGGCGGCCACCGCAAGUCGGUUGUGAAAUCUCUGGGCUUAACCCAGAAAGGUCAACCGAUACUGCGGGGCUAGAGUGCAGAAGGGGCAACUGGAAUUCUCGGUGUAGCGGUGAAAUGCGUAGAUAUCGAGAGGAACACCUGCGGCGAAGGCGGGUUGCUGGGCUGACACUGACGCUGAUGUGCGAAAGCUAGGGGAGCGAACGGG